RNAcentral lists this ribosomal RNA (468 nucleotides) under uncultured bacterium. Its description in RNAcentral is "partial 16S ribosomal RNA". It matches the Rfam family "Bacterial small subunit ribosomal RNA", at positions 28 to 507 of the family's 1533-position model. The record is from RNAcentral.
GACGAACGCUGGCGGCGUGCUUAACACAUGCAAGUCGAACGGAAAGGCCCUGCUUUUGUGGGGUGCUCGAGUGGCGAACGGGUGAGUAACAAGUGAGUAACCUGCCCUUGACUUUGGGAUAACUUCAGGAAACUGGGGCUAAUACCUGAUAGGAGCGCCUGCUGCAUGGUGGGGGUUGGAAAGUUUCGGCGGUUGGGGAUGGACUCGCGGCUCAUCAGCUUGUUGGUGGGGUAGUGGCUUACCAAGGCUUUGACGGGUAGCCGGCCUGAGAGGGUGACCGGCCACAUUGGGACUGAGAUACGGCCCAGACUCCUACGGGAGGCAGCAGUGGGGAAUAUUGGACAAUGGGCGGAAGCCUGAUGCAGCAACGCCGCGUGCGGGAUGACGGCCUUCGGGUUGUAAACCGCUUUCGCCUGUGACGAAGCGUGAGUGACGGUAAUGGGUAAAGAAGCACCGGCUAACUACGUG